Molecule: transfer RNA, 113 nt
Organism: Macrophomina phaseolina MS6
Lineage: Eukaryota; Fungi; Ascomycota; Dothideomycetes; Botryosphaeriales; Botryosphaeriaceae
Rfam family: tRNA
About the family: Transfer RNA (tRNA) molecules are approximately 80 nucleotides in length. Their secondary structure includes four short double-helical elements and three loops (D, anti-codon, and T loops). Further hydrogen bonds mediate the characteristic L-shaped molecular structure. tRNAs have two regions of fundamental functional importance: the anti-codon, which is responsible for specific mRNA codon recognition, and the 3' end, to which the tRNAs corresponding amino acid is attached (by aminoacyl-tRNA synthetases). tRNAs cope with the degeneracy of the genetic code in two manners: having more than one tRNA (with a specific anti-codon) for a particular amino acid; and 'wobble' base-pairing, i.e. permitting non-standard base-pairing at the 3rd anti-codon position.
Source: Rfam
GGUGGUGUGGUGUAAUGGCAGCACGUAACGUUGUGGUUAUAACACGACUCCCAAUCCAUUUGGGACCAUUCACUUGACCCGUUCCGAUCUGGGUUCGAUUCCCAGCACCGCCA